Molecule: ribosomal RNA, 256 nt
Filed under: uncultured bacterium
Lineage: Bacteria
Description: partial 16S ribosomal RNA
Rfam family: Bacterial small subunit ribosomal RNA
Source: RNAcentral
UACGUAGGGUGCAAGCGUUGUCCGGAAUUAUUGGGCGUAAAGAGCUCGUAGGCGGUCUGUCGCGUCUGCUGUGAAAACUCAGGGCUUAACCCUGAGCUUGCAGUGGGUACGGGCAGACUAGAGUGCGGUAGGGGAGACUGGAAUUCCUGGUGUAGCGGUGAAAUGCGCAGAUAUCAGGAGGAACACCGGUGGGCGAAGGCGGGUCUCUGGGCAAUAACUGACGCUGGAGGAGCGAAAGCCGUGGGGAGCGAACAGG